RNAcentral lists this ribosomal RNA (492 nucleotides) under uncultured bacterium. Its description in RNAcentral is "partial 16S ribosomal RNA". It matches the Rfam family "Bacterial small subunit ribosomal RNA", at positions 29 to 507 of the family's 1533-position model. The record is from RNAcentral.
AGUGAACGCUGGCGGUAGGCCUAACACAUGCAAGUCGAACGGCAGCACAGUAAGAGCUUGCUCUUACGGGUGGCGAGUGGCGGACGGGUGAGGAAUACAUCGGAAUCUACUUUUUCGUGGGGGAUAACGUAGGUAAACUUACGCUAAUACCGCAUACGACCUACGGGUGAAAGCAGGGGAUCUUCGGACCUUGCGCGAUUGAAUGAGCCGAUGUCGGAUUAGCUAGUUGGGGGGGUAAAGGCCCACCAAGGCGACGAUCCGUAGCUGGUCUGAGAGGAUGAUCGGCCACACUGGAACUGGGACACGGUCCAGACUCCUACGGGAGGCAGCAGUGGGGAAUAUUAGACAAUGGGCGCAAGCCUGAUCCAGCCAUACCGCGUGGGUGAAGAAGGCCUUCGGGUUGUAAAGCCCUUUUGUUGGGAAAGAAAAGCAGCAGGUUAAUACCCCGCUGUUCUGACGGUACCCAAAGAAUAAGCACCGGCUAACUUCGUG